This 122-nucleotide non-coding RNA is filed under the name unclassified sequences. Its description in RNAcentral is "Candidate Moco riboswitch". It matches the Rfam family "Molybdenum/Tungsten riboswitch aptamer (Moco RNA motif)". The record is from RNAcentral.
AAUCUACUUAAUCUCCGAUUCGCUUACACCUAAAGUAUAAACCAUGGUUUGGCGAACGAUAGGGUGGACAGGGAAACUGGUCUGCCUCCCGACUUUGGAAAGGAGACCUUUCAUGAUAGACC